RNAcentral lists this ribosomal RNA (203 nucleotides) under uncultured Verrucomicrobiota bacterium. RNAcentral describes it as "uncultured Verrucomicrobia bacterium partial 16S ribosomal RNA". It matches the Rfam family "Bacterial small subunit ribosomal RNA", at positions 1179 to 1382 of the family's 1533-position model. The record is from RNAcentral. Lineage: Bacteria; Pseudomonadati; Verrucomicrobiota.
AUGACGUCAAGUCAGUAUGGCCCUUACGGCCAGGGCUGCACACGUACUACAAUGCCCGGCACAAAGGGAAGCAAUACCGUAAGGUGGAGCAAAUCCCAAAACCGGGCCCAGUUCAGAUUGCCGUCUGCAACUCGACGGCAUGAAGCUGGAAUCGCUAGUAAUGGCGCAUCAGCUACGGCGCCGUGAAUACGUUCCCAGGCCUU